UUCGAUCUCCACUUCCUUGAUAUCAACUUCGAUCUCGAAUUCCUUGACGAAGACAUCUACCUUCUUGAUCUCGACUUCGAUUUGGUAAGUGUUUAACUAUUUUCUUUCAUUAUAACUGUAUUGGUUGAAAAUUUGUCGCAAUUUAUUCAUCUACUCUUUCUGGGUUUUGUUUUGACCUGAUUUCUAGGUUGUACUUGACCCCUUUUAAGUCUUUUUGCUAUUUGGGUUUUUUUCAUUGGGUUUUUUCACCACAAUUGUUCCUUUGUUCUACUGCAACACAGAGAACAUGCUAUUUUUUGUACAUUUCGUUAUUUUCUGUUGAAUGAGUGUUUUCAAUAUUUUAUUUUUCAAGUGGGUUAUGGCAUAUAUCUAAGUAGAAUAGUAGUAGUUCACGGCCAAAUUUAUGUAUUUUUGAAGAGGAAAUACAAGUGUUCUGGACCUCUGGUUAUCUUGUGGCUAUUCUAAUAUCUUAGUUUCUCUUUGAAAUUUAAAGUCUUAUUGUCUUUCUGCUGUAAGGAUUAGGUCUGAUUGCAUGAGGGGUGUUUUUUUUUCCUUUUUUUUGAGUUGUCUUGUAUAUUUGUUGGUACAUCUAUAGGAUCCAGUAUAAAUGUGCUUCAAUAUCCUAGAGAGCUAUGCCUAGUAUUAAAAAGGUCACUACUAUCGCAGUUCAACAUUAUCCAGGAUGCAUAGCUCACACUACCUAUGUCUAACAUAAUCAGUACUAUUAAACCUAAUAUAGGAUUCAUGAAACAUAAGAUUCAAUUUUCAUAGUGUCUGAUUCUGGUGCAUGCACUACAUCCCCAACACAGGAUAACUCCUGGCAUACAUGUUACAACGGAUAGUGUCAACUUAAAUGGCCGGAUUUAAUCACUGCCAUUGUCACCGCACAACUAUGUUGAUAACUUCUCGGACUGAUUUGAAUCAUGGUCGUCGAUUCUAUGGAUGCCAAACUGCAAGAGUAAGUGAUUUUUCUUCAAUUUCCUUUGAUAUGAAGCUUAUUCUGAAAAAAAUGUCUUUUUUAACAGCCCCAUGGUUGUGGAUAUUUCAUGUGGUAUGAUCCUCUGAUGCAGUCGAGAGCCAUUCAAAUGAUACCUUGUUUGUUGAGAAGGUUGAAGGUUCUUGAAAAUAAAGCUCAAAAUUUUUGAUGCAAAAAGAGAAUUUACUUAAAUAGUUAUCGUAAACAAAAUAUGAUAUUUAUAUAGCAUAAAAUUGAGUUUUAUUGUUAAACAAAAUAUUUUAUUAUACUAUAUUGCAUUAGUUGCAGGCUACUCG
Molecule: long non-coding RNA, 1272 nt
Filed under: Panax ginseng (ginseng)
Lineage: Eukaryota; Viridiplantae; Streptophyta; Magnoliopsida; Apiales; Araliaceae
Description: long non-coding RNA (PGIN_LNC008829)
Source: RNAcentral